Long non-coding RNA from Dermochelys coriacea (leatherback sea turtle), 10415 nucleotides. RefSeq lists it as uncharacterized. Lineage: Eukaryota; Metazoa; Chordata; Testudines; Dermochelyidae. The transcript has 4 exons. The record is from RefSeq and is a predicted model, not a curated record.
UUCUUUUUGCGAAUACAGACUAACACGGCUGCUACUCUGAAACCUGUCUCAUGUCUAAAGCAUUGCUUGCCAGUGCUAUGCAGCCGGGGUGGCUGUGAUCUUCCGUUGUGAAGUGGACAAUAUGCAGUACAAGAAGGGUUACCAUUGGCAGGUAUUUGACUGGCACAGCUGUUUUUUUUUUUUUUUUUUUUUUAAUGGAUUUGCCAAUUGCCAGAAAAAUAAUUUAAUCUGCCAGGGCUUUUUUUUUUUUUUUACAUGCAUCUAAAGACUUGCAUUAUUAUCAACACAAUACACUGGGAUAGCUAAUGUUAAAAGUUUCUGUGUCCAGCUAAAGAUGCUGCAGUGUUCCCAGUUCCACAGUUUAAGCAAUAAUCAAUCAAAACUGUUGAAAAUACAGCAGCUGUCUGCCCAUCAACAUGCAAGCGCACCAUGCAUGGGCAUGAGAGAGGCUUUGAGUUACACAGGAGUGAGAAGACAUGAGAUGUUCUCAAUCUUAUCUAUAUAUGAUGUUGCUCAGUACAUCAAAUUUGAAAUGCCAGUUCUUAAAAGCUUCAUCCAGAAGCUCCAAGAAGAAGAAGACCGUGAAGUGAAGAAACUCAUGCACAAAUACACAGUCCUCCGGUUAAUGAUAGAACGAAGACUAGAAGAGAUUUCUGAGAGCCCAGCAACGAUCUAAAGUUCUCCUCAGCGCUGUGCUACAGCCUUGUGUCAGACGCGAUAGGUCUCUUUAAGAAUCACUGUUUACACAAAGAACGGAAUGAAAAGAUGAUGCACUCUAUCCUGGGAACCAAACCUGAACGCAAAACCCUGCGGAGAUUGAAUGUGUGUCCUGUACCUGCUCAGCAGACGUGGAUGUGUGAGAGUCAAUGGACUCCUUCUGCAGAAGGAAAAUCUUCUUCAGUAAUUUUCUUUUUCCCCUCUCAAAGUGAUCUGCAGAAUGCAAGGAUUCGGCACGUGUGUCUUAACCUCCCCCCCCCCCUUCCCGCCCGCCCCUUCAGAAGCCAUUUCAGAACUGCCAUGCCCAGCAUUCACAAAGAGGAGAGUUGACCUUGCUGGCAUGUUGAAAGAAGGCUCUUGGGAUAUGCCCACCGAGGCUGGUGUGUCAUGUCUGUGUGCUUUGACCUGCAGCAUCUGUAUUGAAGAAAGCAGUUGCUUGAGAAGAGUGGCUCGCGCUCCUUUACCUCUCACCUAAUGCCAUUACGAGAUGCGUAUCCAUGCUUGAGCGCUGAUGUGACUACGCAUAGGUUUUCAUGUCUGUAUGCAAAAGAAAAAAACAAAACUCAUGUCCACUGAAGCUAGUAAACCAGCUUCUGUCGUGCCCACACACUUAAAUUCUAGGACUGUGUAAAUGCUCCAGACCAGUCCCAGCGCUGGUAACACUUGGCUGCAAUAACUCCUGCCAACCUCCGCUCGUGCCAGAAUGUUGUGCGUUUUAUGAAGUGUGUUUGAUGGCAAGAUCAAUGUUCUGUGUAGCUUUUUUUUCCCCAUACAGGACAGUCCUCUUUGUUCUUUAUUUUUCCUGUUCAGAGCGUUCUCAGAGUGCAAUCACAAAAGAUAUACCUUUUUCCCCCCUGCACGGUACUGGUGGGAUAUCAGCCUUGUGGUCCCCUGGUGCCUCACGCUCGACCCUUCCUGCCUCGUUCUUCUACUGCCAGCACAGGCUUUCUGUGCACCUGCAAAUGGUCUCUGGGCUCCUCCAAUGUGUUACCAUUGGGCCUGAGGCACGUGGCCAGAGUGGUACGUUGAGGACUAUUCCACGGAGCAGUGGCAUGUGAGAAGGAGCAAGCAGUGCUCCCCUGUCUGAUGCAUGGCUCCUCGCUUUCAUCUGUGGGUCACCAAGUGUAUCUCUGCACUGCAGCUAGAGGUGUCAUUCCCCAGCUCGGGUAGAAGUACACGUGCUCGAUUUGAUGGAGCGAGCGCGCCAAAAGUAGCAGAAUAGCUACAGCCGCACAGGUAGCAGGACACGCUAGCCACCCGAGUUCAAUCCCAUCCAAGACCCUAAGUAAGGACUCGGGCUGCUAGCCCGUGACACCGCUUGUACCGCUGUAGCCGCACCAUUCUAUUUAGCGCACUGGCUGGAUCAGAGCUAGCGUGUGUACACCUGCCUGUGCUGGAAAUCCCAGUGUCGAUCUCCCCAAAGUGAGGAGGAGACCGAAGAAUCGCGUGAGCCGGAAGUGGAGGCCCCAGAGUGCUGGUGGGAGACGGACAGCAGCUGGAAAGGAAGAGAUGCACCUGCCUAGGUUGGGAGCCUGGACAGCUGUGUCCUCCAACCUAGAUGCUGGCACGAGAUCGCUUGGGAGGACUGAUGGGGUGGGGCAGAUGUUCUGGAAGUCGUUACAAUUAUAACCGUCGUCUGUUGGUGGUUUGGGCUGCUCGGUCCUUGAGAGCGUGGAGCGUGUCGGUCGUGGUGCGGAGUUAGGCUAGGGUGGCUUCUGGGGGUGGGGGCAGAGGAGGGUUAAGUGACGGAUUUCGAGAGUGAGGCUUGUGGGCCUGAUCCCACAAGGUGCUGAGUUCUCUCAACAUGCAGUAGGCCUGAUUCUCCCCUCUCUGGCGUAAAUCAGGAGUAACUCUGAAGUCAGUGGAGCCCUGCUUCAGUAACCGUUGGUUGGUAGGUUUGGUGUAUGGGUGUUGGUGGCCUGUGAUAUACAGGAGGUCUAAGUAGAUGAUUUAGUGGUCCCAUCUGGCCUUAAACUCGAUGACUCUGUGACCAGCCUAAAAAAUGGUAUCAAGAGGUGAAUUUGCUGAGCUAAGCACCUUGCAAGAUCAGGCUGUCCAAGUCAACUAGGACUAGGUGUGUCCGUGAGCUACUCCUGUUGUGUGAUACUCUCACGUGGUUGUCACAAGGAAUAAAGGGAGCCAAGAGGUGGCAGUUUCAUGCAGCUUGACAUCAAAUAUUUGUAUAGAUUUUGAUGCAUCUGCCGGAGGAAUUUUUUUGAGAUGGGGCGGGUAACAUUUUUGUUCCAGAAGUGCCUCAGAGACUUAGGAGCUUCUGGAAAAUUUGCCUCAGAACCAGUUGAAGAAAGACCCUUGACUUGUCCACACCUGUGAUUAAAAACGCUUGAUCCAUAAACCCUUCCUCAAGCAAGGGAAACCGACUCCCACCAGCCUACUGUCUUGGCCUAGAGCUAUAUCGAGUGAUUCCUCUGUUGCAGAACAUGGGUUGGGGCUGUUGAUUGGAGAGUGGCUAGUUGUCACUGGAUUUUUAAUCUCUGCAAGCAACAACAAUAUUACCACACUCCAGCUGGUUUGACAAGGACAGUGUGUAAGUAGCUUGUCAGAUCCUGAUGUCUUAAAUUCAGCUGAUUGUCUCUAAGUAGUGUUUACUGUCUCCACUCUGUGUGUGUGUCUUGUUGUGGUUUUUUUUGCAUGAUGGAUGUAAAGCACAUGGAGCUUGUAAGGCUCCCAGCUUGGAUGUACAGGUAGACCUGCUUCCUACAGACUAGCAGGCCCUUGGUUCAAAGCCUAGCUGAGAUGACAUGGGACACUAUUCUCGGAAUCCAACCCAAACUUGAUCUUCAGUCAUUUAUAUCUGCAUUGGCAGAGCCCGCAACAGGAAGUCCUGCUUUUAAAUGAUGGCUUCAAAGAUGAAUCUAAUGCUAGGCUUGAGUGAACAGAGAAACUGGCAGUGGGGUGAGCAGACUUCCAAGCAUGCCCUAAAUUAACUAAGUCUCUCUGUUCUCCUUGAUUGGCUUAGGACAAGGGCUGGGCACGAGCUCUAUGGGGCCUUUUAUUUCUUUGGAGAUGUGCAGUAUAAUGCUAGUGUUUCUCGAACGAAUGUUGAGCCCUAAGGUGUUCAGCUGUCCAUAGAUGCCCUGAGGAAUUAGGUCCCAGCAGGUCAAUGUGGGAGGAUGACAAUGGUUUUGAUACUACUCAGGAGAAUGGGUUUGGUUUCAUUUUAAAUGGGGAUUUGGAUACAAGGGUAUCUGUCUCUCUACUUUCUUUGCUCUUGGCGUUCGUGGCUGUGGUGUGAUCUGUACGACGUGGUUCACUCCUGUCUCUCUUGGCUUGUGUAAUGCCCUCAGUGGGGUCACGCAAGAAGUAGGAGCCGAGUUUCCAGAAGGACGACCGGAACACUUCCAUUGUGUGGGCUCUGCGUUGCUGUGACCCGCUGCCUGUUGGUGGCUUUACGCUUUGUGUCUUAAUCUAGAAUAGGUUUCAAUCUGUGGGCAAAUAGUGUUUAAUAUUUUAGAGCUUCUGUAGCAGUCGGUACUCAAUCUACAUAAAGCGUGUAACAAAACCAGUGAGACAGAGAGAAGGGGAGUGGACGUCCCAGAGCACUGGGAUAAGGAGCCUUUCAUCUCUGCGCUGCCCUUUUCUUUUCUUUUCUUUUCUUUUCUUUUCUUUUCUUUUCUUUUCUAAAGCUGGUGAAAAAAAAAUUUCUAAUUUUUGCUGAAAACUUUCACAGAAACCCCUGAUAUUUUUUUAUUUUAUUUUUUUUUAACUUAAUUCUUGCAACUCCCCCCUGCCCCAUUCUUUUGAGCUGCUCUAGUUAGCUCAGAUCUAAGUCAGGAUGGACACUGUUGUUCACGGAUGGCUGUAGAGUGGCCCUCCGGGAGAGGAAUGCGUUGUGAUCUUCCUAGUGAACUGGGGCUGAGGGCACUAAACCCAACACCGGAGUGGGUGCUAACGACCUUCUCGUGCUGAGAGGCUCGGCAGAGAACCUAAGUGCUGAACAGGCCCCGGAGCCAGAACCCUUGCUGGAAGAGGGCAGCCCAGAGGUCACGGUUUUGAGGCACGUCUCCACAGCAGCCUUGGGGAAGCGUAUACUGCCCCUGUUUAGGCCGUGUCUGUUUAACCAGUCUCCAGGGCUGUCACGUGGGCGGUGGUUCAGCAUGUGCGUGAGGUAGGGUGACCAGAUAGCAAGCGGGGGUAGGGGGUAAUAGGCACCUAUAUCAGGACUGUCCCUGUAAAAUCGGGACAUCUGGUCACCCUAGCCUGAGGCCCACUUACCUCAGCAUUCAAAGUUAAGCCCGUACUUUGCUGCACUGAGGCCUCCAGCAUCUUUUACCAGCGCUCAGUUCACACACGCAGUGUUAAGAUGCAUCCUUUCCCGCCCGACCGCCCCCCCGCCCAACACAUAAUUAAAGGCACAAAACGGUAACAUGCAACAAAUGACUUGGCUAACUAAAGCAAGCACAUUUCUAUUGUAAUAAUUAAAAAGAGAAGGGAGACUGUUUAGGUUGGUUUCAAUGACCUUGGAAAUAAAUAUUGGCCUUAGAUUGCAUGGCCUUUGCUGCAAAUAAAAGAAGUUUGCAGUUGUGUGUCCAUUGGGCUUUCUAUGGGAGAACUGCCCAUCCGUGUGGUUUGCUUCUUUUCCACUUGUACCCGGCCGUGUAACCCUUCUUUUUUCCCCCCCUUCCCCGCUUCUCAUUUGCACUAGUUCUAUUGUGGAAAGGAAAAAACAAAUAAGAAUAUGAUGUGAAUCUCUCUCAUCGACACAAUAUGCCAAAUAUCGCCCAGGGAAAUAGUUUCCAAGAGCGAGUUUCUCUUGGAAGACAUUGUUAUAAAGAAACUCGAGCCAGCACAAUGACCGUAUGAAGAGUUGCAACUCGAGGUUCGAUCAGCGUGGUUUGGGGAGGUUACCCCACACCUGUUUCGGGAUCAUGUAGCACAGAACCAACUAUUUGUGAAUUCGUUGGUGUCUCUUUUAUUUUUUUGAGUCAGCUUGUACAUGUUUUUUGGUUAAUGAAUAAGUCUAGGCUAACUUUACCCUUGUGUAUAGGGUGAAGAGAGAGAUCUUUGUAACAUCUGUUGCUAAUGUCUGUCUAUAUUAGGGGCUUGCACUAAGGCAUAUUUCUCUUAUCUUUAGACAUGUGGCCAGAGUGCCAAAUGGUGCUUGUCCCACUGCAGCUUUUGCCAGUAUCAGCACCAUUUUGCGCUGCUGCAGUAUUUUCGGGGGAGAGGGGGAGGAAGGUGCAAAUUUCUCUAACUUAGACUGGCCCUUGCAUUGCUCCUCAUUGAGGCGCUCAUUGAAGGCAAUGGGAGUCUUUUCAAGGCCUUUGGUGUGCACAAGUUCAGACUCUGAGAGCCAUUGCAAAUGUGGAUGCUGGGCUUCUCCUUGCUGCUUUGCCAGAAAAACUGAAAACCAGUUCUUGGUUGCCCUGCACCUCAUGUGGUUGCUCCCCGCAGCACAGUUCUGACAUGGUGUGGGGAAAUUCUGAUCACCAAGAUCUGUUUGCAAAAGGGGAACAAAUGGGGCAAUACUGCAUCCUUGUUACUAAAAGAAUGAGCAGCAAUUGGGAUUAUGCCAAUGACAGAUGUGUAGAGACCGGGGCAACGCUGGAACCGUUUUCCCAACCCUCUCUGAGCUUUACCAAUUCGUAUAAUUGUGAACCAGAUCCAAAUCUAAAACCACUACUGGGUUUUCCCCCCACAUCCCUAGCUGAGCUGCAGUUUCUGAGCCUCAAUUACCACCUGCAAUAUUUGCUUUAGCAUUGACGUAAGUAGAACAUCUGUGUAAAUCUCUCUCAUUCUGGAGCGAAACUAGCAAUAUCUCUUUGUAUGUCAUUAACGCUAAUUAAAAUUUGUGGGGAUUUUCUUCUCGAGUUUUUGUAGUGUAACUUUUUGUAGUUAUUUUUUUAAUGGUACCUUUUUUACACAGAUCUGUCUAGCAUUUGUGUUACUGAAAGUAUUGUAAAGUGACAAAUGCUUUUUAUGUACUUUGACAAUGCCUCAUUUAUUAACGGGAAAAGCUUAUGUAACAAUUCAAUACGUUAUCAAAGCACACGAGUUAGAUCCUUUUUGUUUUUUAAAUAAAGCACUUUGCAGAUAGAAAUGCUACUGAGAUUGCUAAGUUUGUGUGUAUUUGUUUCUUAGAGCUGAUGGUGGAGAGGAGACAGGACUAAGUUGAACAAGCAAGUGUUAAAGCAAGGGAAAGGUUUCACAGGGUGAGAAUAACUCCAGUUGUGGAGUGCCAGUGGAGCUGCCUUACACCAACUAAGCAUCUGGUGCAUUAUGCCUCAAUUGGGCUCAAGAGGGUUGCAUCCCAAAACUUUCCACACUGGCACAGACCAAAGGCUCACUUCAUAGUGACAUAGGCAGCACUUGAUCUUAGCCAAAAGGCCGACAAGAGACAACUGACUCUCUGCCUCACUCCUCAGUACUGGACUCUUCAGAUGUUUAUCUUCCAGAUGGCAAAAUUCACCCCUUUGUAGAGGUGGCAGCAGAAUGUCCGUGCAUCACUGAAGUCCCACUUUAAAACUUACUUUGAGGUCUUAUCUGAAACUACCCCCUUUACCUAGGGCUGUAUUUCCUCUAUAGAGGACUGAACUGUGCUGUUUGGUACCAAGUGGGGAGGGAAAUUCCUUCCUGGCCCCAAUAUCACUUUAUGCCCUGAAGCAUGAGGCUUGAUUUUCUGGGGGAAGGUUAUCCUGCCUAGUGUCUCUGCAGAUGAUGUGUAAAUGGUCAAGACUUUUGUAUAGGAUUAUCUUCCUCCAUAACCUUGUCCAGAGCCUGUGUGGUGGAUUCCAUCCUCUUCCCAGUGGCUAAGCAUCUGCACUGAAAAAUGCCUGUCUGACACCACACCUCUGGAAAGUGGGGCUGCAUCCUGCAAAGCUAACCUGCAGCCCCUCACGCAAAGGCCACAAGUGAAUGACUGAAGCCCCAGCAGAGAAAGUCUGCAGAGCGUCUCUAAUAGUAACCAUUCGAAAGAUAGCACGUGCCUUUAACAUCGUCCUCAUUGGGCAGGAUGUGAUGAGUGAUGUCAGCUCCAUUUGUUAGUCAUGGUUAGCUGAUGGGGAAUCCUGGUCCUGUAGAGUAGCUGAUGCUUUAUCACCGGCACACAUGCAGAAUGCAGCUCUUUGGAAGUUCUCCCUCAGCAGAUUAUUUCCCUGCAGGGAAUCGAGCUGUCUCUUACUGCCCCAGCAACAAGUGUGGCAGGAUGAGGACGACCCUGCAGGCCUGGUCCUGGAUCAUCAUGCUCGUGCUCGCUGUCUUCAGUGAGGCUGCGUUUUGCCGAAGAGGAGGAGGAGGAAGAAGAAAAAGUGGAGGAGGAGGAAGCGGGAAAAAUGGAGGAGGAAGCGGAGGGAGGCGCGGAGGGUUCCAGGCCCUCCCGAAGAGCAGCAGCAGCCAGAGCAAAGAGAGCAGCCCCAGGGGUGGGGUGAAGAUGGCCGGAGCAGCGGCCGCCGGGGCUGCCAUUGGGUACGGCCUGGGCGCUCUUGGGAGAUCUCGCCACUCCCGUGUAGGACACGGCACUUUAGGAGGAAGGCAGGUGCCACCGAGCGGCCAGGGCUAUUCCAACUGGUCACACCUCCUCACUGAAGGAGAGUUCUACAACCGGGCCCCGAAGGAUGCGGAAGGCCUCACUGCCCUGCUUCUGUCUCCAAUUGGGUGUUGCCUUAGUAUUCUCCUUAGGGGCUGAACAGUGUCCCCCCAUCCCCGCCCCAAUGAGUAGUUAAGCAAUGAGGAAGAGAGAGAGACUAUAGCUGUGCACCUCCUUAAUGCCGGACUCGUCUAAUCUACGUGUAGGUAAACCCAGGGUGCUGUGUCGCGAGCUGGGCGAACCCCUUUUGAGGCUGGGCCACAAUAGGUUAGCUAUUUUUUAUUAUUUUUUGUACCAUGGUAGCUGACUGGCGGGAGUGGAACAGCGAGGGCCGGGGGUCAGAUGGAACUAACUUUCCAGCCCCAGUCUGCUAAAAUUUAACCCUCUAGGCAAGACAGAGGUCUAAGGGGCUUGGGAGUAUUCGCAUGCAGUGGAAGCUAGACACAUGCAUAAUCAGGGCAUGGGUGGUGAAUGGUGCAACAAUGUUUGAGGCCCUUCAUCUUUUCCUGUGGCGACCUGAAACAAAAUUCAGGUUCUGAUGCUGCUGCGUGACAGGGUGAAUGGGAAGAAAAUCCCGUGAAAGGCAUAGAAUUACACUGGAGGGGCAUGUCAAGGUGAAAGCAGGCCCCUCCAUGCCCUCUGCAUCCAGUGUGAUGAUAGAUCUGAGCCCCAGUUGUAGCCCAGGACCCUCUUGUGCUAGGUGCUAAACAAAAAGCUGGUCCCUGCCCCAAAUUGCUUACAAUCUAAGCAUAGAACAAGAGAGGAUGUAGAACAUCUGGAGCCCGACAGCCAUCUAACACUGUUUGCUUUCUUGCUCGGAUGUUCUCCCUAGUCUGCUCUAAGGCAAAGAGAUGGACUUCAUGAAGCAGAGUCACCUUCUCCACCGUCAAUAACCCUACAGUCUUUUGGGGGAACAGAACCACAACACCGUCGCAAAGAAGCAAGCGAAGGGCUGGUGCUGAUUUUUGCAAGUCUCUUUAGAUUAGCUUUUGGCUUGACAAAAUCCAAGCCAGCUGUUGGGUUUUUUUGGGUGGGGGGCUCUGGACCCAAGUAUCCAGCCUCUUGCUCUUCAAAGUUCAGCUUAAUUACUCAAAUUAAAACCCAGUGGUGACAAAGCCUGAUGUCUAGUUAGAGGCUGGAUUUAAUAGGACUAGGGCUUCCACAGGCCAUAGGACCCCUAGAAAAUUCAGCCAUGGUUCUUGAAACCCUCUAGUGCCUUCUAAUUCUAAUAAACAGAGCUCACUACAGCCACUAGGCCUUUUGUGCCACUUAUUCCAUUAUCUUUUAUUAAAUUGCUUUGUUUCAAUAAAGCUCUAAAAAGUAGACCUCAGCUGAUUAAUUGAAAACUGUCAGGAAUUCUCCAACAGCACCGUCAGCCAGGGCACCAUGCCAGGAUCCAAGGGCCUGUUCAUAGCUUCCAUACAUAUAACUGCUCCCCAAGUAUCUGAGAAUCUCAGUUAAGGAUCAGGGCCCCUGCGCACUCGGUGUAGCACAGACACGUUAAGCCUCACAAGCUCCAUAAAAGAGAGCAGUGGAUGAAACCCCCGCAGUGAGUGGGGGUGGGUAGGUUAGCAGGAUAAGAUAAUAAAACUGAAUUUAGUGCACAACAAAAAGCAAAAGUCCCAGUUCCCCCGCUUUGCCAGUCUAAAUAAAGGUUGGAGCUGGCUGCUAUCAUUCAAAAUUUCUGGGAAUGUUUUCAAAAGUCUUCAGGACAUUUUCAAGUUCUCCGAACCAGCUCUAAUUAAUAAAUAUACCAUUAAAGAAAAAUGUGUAAAGCCCUGAACAGAGCAUCUUCCCUCUCCAGGUCUGGCUGAGCCUCACAGGGCGUGCAUUAAUCACAGCUCUCCACAGGCAAGGAUGUCUUUAUUUUAUUUUUUUUAGCUCAGGCUGUAGCGACUCACGCUUUGAACACCAGAGGUUUCCAGUUGAAUUCCCAGUGUCCUCCAAAAUAGCGAUUAGCACAACUGUGCACAGCUGUUCUACGUGCUGCUAUUUUCUUUGACAUGAUUAGAACUUGCUUGGUUUUUUUUCUUGCCCCUCAUCCUGCACUUCCAUAUUUUUACAAGGCUCUAUAAGUAGGGCCCUACCAAAUUCAUGCCUGUGAAAAAUGUGUCACGGACCAUGAAAUCUGCUCUCCCACGUGAAAUCUGUAUAG